RNAcentral lists this ribosomal RNA (407 nucleotides) under uncultured bacterium. RNAcentral's name for it is "partial 16S ribosomal RNA". It matches the Rfam family "Bacterial small subunit ribosomal RNA", at positions 30 to 526 of the family's 1533-position model. The record is from RNAcentral.
AUUGAACGCUGGCGGCAGGCCUAACACAUGCAAGUCGAGCGGAGCGGCGGACGGGUGAGUAAUGCCUAGGAAUCUGCCUGGUAGUGGGGGAUAACGUCCGGAAACGGGCGCUAAUGCCGCAUACUAUCAGAUGAGCCUAGGUAGGAUUAGCUAGUGGGUGGGGUAAAGGCCUACCAAGGCGACGAUCCUUAACUUGUCGGAGUGUAUGCUCAGUCAACCGGUAACUGGGACACGGUCCAGACUCCUACGGGAGGCAGCAGUGGGGAAUAUUGGACAAGGGGCUAAAGCCUGAUCCAGCCAGGCCGCGUGUGUGAAGAAGGUCUUCGGAUUGUAAAGCACUUUAAGUUGGGAGGCGUUACCAACAGAAUAAGCACCGGCUAACUUCGUGCCAGCAGCCGCGGUAAUUC